UGGAGAUGUUAUGUACUCUGUAAUUGAACUGAAAAACUUCAGACCAAACAGGAGGCAUCGUGGAAGAAAUGACUGUGUUGUUUACUCUGAGGUGACUGAUGGAGCAGGUUCUCAGAGUACUGUGGCAAGAGAUGGGAUGCUUUAUUCAGAGAUUGGAUGAGAAACAGUUCUGGAUAACAAUGCUGCAAUGGAGAAUGCAACCAAAAUUAGUUUACAGUUUACACUGAAGCAAAUGGAAACAACUCGGCAAUCUACUGUA
Molecule: long non-coding RNA, 259 nt
Organism: Cyprinodon variegatus (sheepshead minnow)
Lineage: Eukaryota; Metazoa; Chordata; Actinopteri; Cyprinodontiformes; Cyprinodontidae
Exons: 3
Source: RefSeq, a predicted model, not a curated record